This is a long non-coding RNA of Wyeomyia smithii (pitcher-plant mosquito), 689 nucleotides long. RefSeq lists it as uncharacterized. The record is from RefSeq and is a predicted model, not a curated record. The transcript has 3 exons. Lineage: Eukaryota; Metazoa; Arthropoda; Insecta; Diptera; Culicidae.
GAAUGUUUCCUAGUACGUUUGUUAUUGUUGUUAUUAUUGGAGGUUAAAACCAAAACAAAACACGAAAUCUUUUAAUAUGUCGGUGAAAAAAUCAAAAGUGGUCUUUUAUUGUUGUGUGAAGGAUUGUCAUUCGCGGUACUGGAGCAACCGGUCGGACAACAUUAGAUUUUCAUGCUUUCCCGAUCCGGACAAAAAUCUAACACCUCAUCUUCGUCAUUUGGCAAAAAUUCGUUCGACUGCGUGGCGCAAAGUUUUGUCGCAGGCGGAAAAGCCACCAAAAAAUUCGAGAAUAUGUGGUAGACAUUUCGUAUCAGGCAAGCCGGCUAAGCUGACGGAUAAAAGCGGUGUGGACUGGAUCCCAAAUCUUAUUUACCCAAUUCAAUAAACACUAUUGAAAUGACUGAUGGUUAUUUAACAGUUAAAAUACAGAUUUUGCACACUCUGUUUGUUUACCGUCUGACACCGAUUCAGCGUCAGAAACUGGAAGCUUGAGGGAAGUACGAGUGCGUGAACAUAUUCGGCGAAAAUCAGUAAAAGUUCAAGUGUCUGUUCCCGUCAGAUGUCAUUCCACACAAACUGAAAAACUUGAUCAUGAAAAAACUAUCGAUCAACAAAAGGCUGAGAUUGAUAACUUGCAAAAUGUAAUUAAGGUGAAAAAUGAUGAAAUAUACAACCUAAAGAGAGUACAA